ACUGGUAUUUGUUCAUAGCUUGAAGAAGAAAGAAUAGCAAGACACAAAGGGCCGGGGCAGGUUGUUUAUUUGUCAACUGAACUAGUUCCCGUUGGCUGCAGCGUGAAUGAAUGGAGGUCGAGCUGAAUGAAUGGUGUUUUCAAAUAUUUGAAUUGGGGUUAUGGUGAGCUGAAUCGGACUCUUGUGCAAGUCUAUGAUGACGAGAAAACACGUAGGGCUCCAUCUGUUAAAUGCUGCGAGCUUGAAUAUGGUAUGACUUAUGUAGGAUAUAUAUGGAAUGGAAAUGCUUGUGGUUUUAUGAAUCAAUAUCUGGUAUGUUAUGAUUGUCACGUUUCUUUGAAAUGGUAAGGUAUUUACAUGAUGGGAAUGUACGAUGGAUGUUUGAAUAUGUGAUGUUAUCUAUAUUUUUGCUUUGAAUUUUUCAAUGGUUGACUUCAAGUCUGAACUGGUUUUGAAUUGUAUGUACAGGACCAUUUCAAUAUGGAUUGUGGAUUGGUAUGAGGAGAAGUUCUGCUGAUGAAAGCGGUUAUUGCUGAAACGGUUCAUGGUUUAUGUCAAAUGGAACUAUGGAGAAUGGUUCUAAAAGAUAUGGAUUACUUGAUCAUAAAGCUAGUUAACAUUGUGGUGAAACUGAGGCGGAUCUAAUUUAUGGAGUCAGCUGUUGUUUUCUUUUUGUAUAGUUGAAUUUCGCAAUGGACUUGAAAUUUGUAAUGGAUUUGGAAUUUCGUAACGGAACUGAA
This is a long non-coding RNA of Vicia villosa (hairy vetch), 740 nucleotides long. RefSeq lists it as uncharacterized. The record is from RefSeq and is a predicted model, not a curated record. Lineage: Eukaryota; Viridiplantae; Streptophyta; Magnoliopsida; Fabales; Fabaceae. The transcript has 3 exons.